UACGUAGGGUCCGAGCGUUGUCCGGAAUUAUUGGGCGUAAAGGGCUCGUAGGCGGUUUGUUGCGUCGGGAGUGAAAUCCUCCAGCUUAACUGGAGGCUUGCUUUCGAUACGGGCAGACUUGAGGUAUUCAGGGGAGAAUGGAAUUCCUGGUGUAGCGGUGAAAUGCGCAGAUAUCAGGAGGAACACCGGUGGCGAAGGCGGUUCUCUGGGAAUUACCUGACGCUGAGGAGCGAAAGUGUGGGGAGCGAACAGG
RNAcentral lists this ribosomal RNA (253 nucleotides) under uncultured bacterium. RNAcentral's name for it is "partial 16S ribosomal RNA". It matches the Rfam family "Bacterial small subunit ribosomal RNA", at positions 524 to 776 of the family's 1533-position model. The record is from RNAcentral.